UACGGAGGGUGCAAGCGUUAUCCGGAUUCACUGGGUUUAAAGGGUGCGUAGGUGGGCUAGUAAGUCCGUGGUGAAAUCUCUGAGCUUAACUCGGAAACUGCCGUGGAUACUAUUAGUCUUGAAUCUCGUGGAGGUAAGCGGAAUAUGUCAUGUAGCGGUGAAAUGCUUAGAUAUGACAUAGAACACCGAUAGCGAAGGCAGCUUGCUACACGAGUAUUGGACACUGAGGCACGAAAGCGUGGGGAUCAA
Molecule: ribosomal RNA, 249 nt
Filed under: uncultured bacterium
Lineage: Bacteria
Description: partial 16S ribosomal RNA
Rfam family: Bacterial small subunit ribosomal RNA
Source: RNAcentral